UUCGAAAAGUAAUGAUGCGGAUCGAAGCUGAUCAAAACACAAAUAAAUAUUAAUUGCAGCAAUUUCCGUAACCGCUAUAAAGGGAGGUAAAGAUGGGUAAUGUGAAAAUAAAUAGAAAUAAAUAAAUAUCUGUAUCGCCGGACUAGAUUUAGACGGCGGCGAUGGGAUAGAAGUGGGUAAAAACACGUGGCUAAGGGAGCGUGAGUGCUGGGCCGGACUAGAUUUAGACGGCGGCGAUGGGAUAGAAGUGGGUAAAAACACGUGGCUAAGGGAGCGUGAGUGCUGGGAGAGUAAGAAAAUUUGCCAGCGGUGGUUGGCGUAAAACGCCAGAGGUUGAUGGCGGGUCUUUUGUGAAGGGAUAUUUGUAAUUUCGUCCGCAAUCUUUGCAAAACCUAAUAAAUCAGAGGUAAAGAUGGGUAAUGUGAAAAUAAAUAGAAAUAAAUAAAUAUCUGUAUCGCCGGACUAGAUUUAGACGGCGGCGAUGGGAUAGAAGUGGGUAAAAACACGUGGCUAAGGGAGCGUGAGUGCUGGGAGAGUAAGAAAAUUUGCCAGCGGUGGUUGGUGUAAAACGCCAGAGGUUGAUGGCGGGUCUUUUGUGAAGGGAUAUUUGUAAUUUCGUCCGCAAUCUUUGCAAAACCUAAUAAAUCUACCUUAAAUCUUUUUAUUCGUCAUUAAGUGUUGGAUUUGUCAUUUUAUUUAAAUAAACAAAAAAUAAAAAAGAAAAAAU
This 727-nucleotide long non-coding RNA is filed under the name Olea europaea (common olive). Its description in RNAcentral is "long non-coding RNA (OEUR_LNC006367)". The record is from RNAcentral. Lineage: Eukaryota; Viridiplantae; Streptophyta; Magnoliopsida; Lamiales; Oleaceae.